This 775-nucleotide ribosomal RNA is filed under the name uncultured Neocallimastigales. Its description in RNAcentral is "partial large subunit ribosomal RNA". It matches the Rfam family "Eukaryotic large subunit ribosomal RNA", at positions 22 to 631 of the family's 3401-position model. Lineage: Eukaryota; Fungi; Neocallimastigomycota; Neocallimastigomycetes; Neocallimastigales. The record is from RNAcentral.
GUACACGCUGUGACUAGCAUAUCAAUAAGCGGAGGAAAAGAAACUAACUAGGAUUCCCUCAGUAACGGCGAGUGAAGCGGGAAGAGCUCAAAUUUGAAAUCUUCAAGGUUCUACCUUGACGAAUUGUAGUUUAAAGAAGUGUUUUCUGUUGGAGUUUUGGUAAAAGUUCUUUGGAAUAGGACAUCAUAGAGGGUGAGAAUCCCGUAUUUGACCAUUAUUUCCAGCUUUGUGAUACACUUUCAAAGAGUCGGAUUGUUUGGGAAUGCAGUCCAAAAUGGGUAGGUAAAUUUCAUCUAAGGCUAAAUACUGGCGAGAGACCGAUAGCGAACAAGUACCGUGAGGGAAAGAUGAAAAGAACUUUGAAAAGAGAGUUAAACAGUACGUGAAAUUGUCAAAAGGGAAGCGUUUGACACCAGUGUUGUUUUCUCGAAAAUCAAUUAAAAAAGGCAGGAUUUUGUGUUGUAUUGACUUUAUCAGCUUUCUGCACUCUUUUCUUGUCUUUUUUAAUGCACUUUUCGUUUAACAAGUCAACAUCAAUUUCUUUUGUUGUAAAAGGGUCAUUGGAAGGUGGCUUUCUUUUCGGAGAAAGUGUUUAUAGCCUUUGGCCUCUGCAAUCGGAGAGAUUGAGGUCUGCAGCGUAGAUCCUUCGGGGUUAGAUACAUUUGUGCUAAGUUAUAGCCUUUCAUAGACAACUUGUUGACUAUGAUCAGUCAUGUAGCUUACUCGCUUAUGCUAUUUUACCUACGCUUAGGAUGUUGAAGACUCUACAGAGAUA